GAUGAACGCUGGCGGCGUGCCUAAUACAUGCAAGUCGAGCGAACAGACGAGGAGCUUGCUCCUUUGACGUUAGCGGCGGACGGGUGAGUAACACGUAGGUAACCUACCUAUAAGACUGGGAUAACUUCGGGAAACCGGAGCUAAUACCGGAUAAUAUUUCGAAUCGCAUGGUUCGAUAGUGAAAGAUGGCUUUGCUAUCACUUAUAGAUGGACCUGCGCCGUAUUAGCUAGUUGGUAAGGUAACGGCUUACCAAGGCAACGAUACGUAGCCGACCUGAGAGGGUGAUCGGCCACACUGGAACUGAGACACGGUCCAGACUCCUACGGGAGGCAGCAGUAGGGAAUCUUCCGCAAUGGGCGAAAGCCUGACGGUGCAACGCCGCGUGAGUGAUGAAGGUCUUCGGAUCGUAAAACUCUGUUAUUAGGGAAGAACAAACGUGUAAGUAACUGUGCACGUCUUGACGGUACCUAAUCAGAAAGCCACGGCUAACUACGUG
Molecule: ribosomal RNA, 497 nt
Filed under: uncultured bacterium
Lineage: Bacteria
Description: partial 16S ribosomal RNA
Rfam family: Bacterial small subunit ribosomal RNA
Source: RNAcentral